This 429-nucleotide ribosomal RNA is filed under the name Boana aff. steinbachi MPEG22267. Its description in RNAcentral is "partial large subunit ribosomal RNA". It matches the Rfam family "Bacterial large subunit ribosomal RNA", at positions 1960 to 2539 of the family's 2925-position model. The record is from RNAcentral. Lineage: Eukaryota; Metazoa; Chordata; Amphibia; Anura; Hylidae.
CGUAAUCACUUGUUCUUUAAAUGGGGACUAGUAUGAAUGGCAUCACGAGGGUUAAACUGUCUCCUUUUUCUAAUCAGUGAAACUAAUCUCCCCGUGAAGAAGCGGGGAUUAUUUUAUAAGACGAGAAGACCCUAUGGAGCUUUAAACAAAUUUACACCUGCUUUAAUAGAUUUUACCUCCUGAAUACUCACACAAAUAAUAGCAUGACUGUUAAAUAGUUUUCGAUUGGGGUGAUCAUGGAGAAAAAAAUAACCUCCACGACGAUAAGGGAAUAUCCCUGAGCCAAAAGCCACAACUUUAAGCACUAAAAAAUUAACGCACUUUGACCCAAUUACUUGAGCAACGAACCAAGUUACCCUAGGGAUAACAGCGCAAUCCACUUCAAGAGCUCCUAUCGACAAGUGGGCUUACGACCUCGAUGUUGGAUCA